GUUGCUGGGAAUUGAACUCAGGACCUCUGGAAGAAUGGACAGUGCUCUUAACCUCUGAGCCAUCUCUCCAGCCCCGAUCUUCAAUUUUCUUAUACCUAAGUUAUGAACAAUGGAUGUUCAUGUCUUAGGUAUCAAUGUCUUGAGGGGCUUAGUAUAGAGCCUGGUACCUAGGCUGGAUGUGGUGGCACACACCUAUAAUCCCAGCACUUGGGAGGCAGAGGUGGGUUCCUCUCUGUGAAUUUGCAGGGCGCUGCACAAACUGUGGACACUGUUGGGUUGACUGCUCUACUCUGCCUUAUCAAAGUAAGAUAAAGAAUGUUAAGACCUUACCAAGGAUUUGACAGAGACACACAAGACAGGAGAGAAUGAAGAACCAGCCUGCCUCCAUCUUGGGUGUUAAAGCCAUCUUACAGUAAAGACAAAGUAGGUUCAUUCCUGUUUAUGAUUAAAUCUCUGUUUCUCAAGGAUUGGGCUAUGCCCCACCUAAACCUUAACUACAAAUAGUUCUAGACUGUCUGUUCCAGGAAUGGCAAUCAUGUCUUUAUUUUAAAAAGUUGUUAUAAUUGUCUUGCAACCGUAUCUUUGUUUCAAAAGGUUGUUAUGACUAUCUAUUGUUAUGACUAUCUAUUAUUAUUAUUAUUUUUGGUUUUUACGAGACAGGGUUUCUCUGUAUUGUUUCGGAGGCUAUCGGUCCAGCCCGGCCUCAAACUCACAGAGAUCUGCCUGCCUCUGCCUCCCAAGUGCUGGGAUUAAAGGCGUGUGCCACCACCGCCCGGCAUGACUAUCUAUUAUUAUGCCCACCUUGUUAUGCCCACCUUGCAACCGUGUCUUUGUUUCAGGGGAUCAGGGCCUUGUUAUGAUGUUCUGUUCCUGUAACCCCACCUAUUUUGCCACCAAAUCCCCCAUUUGAAACCUCUACCUGAACUGUGAAAGCCAUGUCUUUCUCACAUCCAAGGCUGACCUCUAGAACCUCACCUUAGGGGGAGGCAGCCCGAGGACACAAAUAAAAAAGCUUGUUUUAAUUAA
Molecule: long non-coding RNA, 1026 nt
Organism: Mesocricetus auratus (golden hamster)
Lineage: Eukaryota; Metazoa; Chordata; Mammalia; Rodentia; Cricetidae
Exons: 2
Source: RefSeq, a predicted model, not a curated record